GGACAGUAUGGGAGUGAGAAUGUUGGCAUGAGUAGCGAGAUGUGGGUGAGAAUCCCACAGGCCGUAAACCCAAGGUUUCCAGGGGAAGGUUCGUCCGCCCUGGGUUAGUCGGGACCUAAGCUGAGGCCGAAAGGCGUAGGUGAUGGACAACAGGUUGAUAUUCCUGUACUACCGAUAACCGUUUGAGAGAAGGGAUGACACAGUAGGAUAAGCUAAGCACACUGUUGGUUAUGUGUGCCCAAGCAUUGAGGCAGUCAAAGUAGGUAAAUCCGCUUUGAUAAUGCUGGGAUGUGAUGGGGAGCGAAAUUUAGUAGCGAAGUAGCUGAUGUCACACUGUGAAGAAAAGGCUCUAUAGAGGUUAAAGGUACCCGUACCGCAAACCGACACAGGUGGGUGAGGAGAGUAUCCUAAGGCCAGCGAGAGAACUGUUGUUAAGGAACUCGGCAAAAUGACCCCGUAACUUAGGGAUAAGGGGUGCCACCAUCAGGUGGCCGCAGAGAAUAGGCCCAAGCGAC
RNAcentral lists this ribosomal RNA (515 nucleotides) under Clostridioides difficile. Its description in RNAcentral is "bacterial LSU rRNA". It matches the Rfam family "Bacterial large subunit ribosomal RNA", at positions 1275 to 1800 of the family's 2925-position model. Lineage: Bacteria; Bacillati; Bacillota; Clostridia; Peptostreptococcales; Peptostreptococcaceae. The record is from RNAcentral.